UCGGACGUGGUGUAGGGAACAUCGCGAGUAUUCUUACCGCAAUGUCGCACUUGGGAGUCUUGCAGUCCGGGGUUCGACUCCCCGCGUCCGAA
Non-coding RNA from Mycena latifolia, 92 nucleotides. The record is from the annotation of a GenBank genome assembly. NCBI's taxonomy places the organism in Eukaryota, Fungi, Basidiomycota, Agaricomycetes, Agaricales, Mycenaceae.